This 429-nucleotide ribosomal RNA is filed under the name Bacillota bacterium. Its description in RNAcentral is "Firmicutes bacterium partial 16S ribosomal RNA". It matches the Rfam family "Bacterial small subunit ribosomal RNA", at positions 355 to 776 of the family's 1533-position model. The record is from RNAcentral. Lineage: Bacteria; Bacillati; Bacillota.
UAGGGAAUCUUCGGCAAUGGACGGAAGUCUGACCGAGCAACGCCGCGUGAGUGAAGAAGGUUUUCGGAUCGUAAAGCUCUGUUGUUAGAGAAGAACGUUGGUAGGAGUGGAAAAUCUACCAAGUGACGGUAACUAACCAGAAAGGGACGGCUAACUACGUGCCAGCAGCCGCGGUAAUACGUAGGUCCCGAGCGUUGUCCGGAUUUAUUGGGCGUAAAGCGAGCGCAGGCGGUUCUUUAAGUCUGAAGUUAAAGGCAGUGGCUUAACCAUUGUACGCUUUGUAGACUGGAGGACUUGAGUGCAGAAGGGGAGAGUGGAAUUCCAUGUGUAGCGGUGAAGUGCGUAGAUAUAUGGAGGAACACCGGUGGCGAAAGCGGCUCUCUGGUCUGUAACUGACGCUGAGGCUCGAAAGCGUGGGGAGCAAACAGA